AUGGCGCCAUUGAUGCGCCUGGCCCAGCCCCAUCAUCCCACAUUUAACGCCCAUUACUCUCGGCCACCCCGCACGGCGCGCGUCAUGGUCCGGUCUGGAGGCGUCACGUCCCGCGUUGCUCGCCGGCACCAGGUCCCGACUCGUAACGAACGUACAGGUACAGGUACAGCCGUACAGGGCGUGCGGGUGGUCGCAUCGAGGCGGGGAAGGGACGGGACCUCCGGCUGUGCUCUCAGGCUCUCAGCGGCGCGCGGCGCGCAGCAGCAAGAGCAGUCAGAGAGACGACAAACAAUGAGUAUCGGGAAGGACAAGAACCAAGACUCAUCGACAAGAACAUCAACCAUCGGCCCCGGCGUUGUGCUUGGCCACGGGAUGCUGCGCACGACGCAUGCGGCAGCCUCGAAGCCUGUGACGACGGCUUGCGCGGCGCAGCACCGUCCUCCGGCGCGGCCUUGCUUUCCCUGCCGGCGAUGUUGCGCCGUUCUCCAGACGACGGCCUGCGCGUAG
Molecule: ribosomal RNA, 507 nt
Filed under: Triticum aestivum (bread wheat)
Lineage: Eukaryota; Viridiplantae; Streptophyta; Magnoliopsida; Poales; Poaceae
Description: partial small subunit ribosomal RNA
Source: RNAcentral